AGCGCCACCACAAACUCCAGCACCCUGCUGACGGCGUUCACCCAGUAGAUCACUUCAUCCAGGCUCUCGAUCGGGUCGCUACGAAACAGCUCCACCAUGAAGAGGGAGUAGAUCAGCAUCGUGCCUGUAACCUGGUCAAACAGAAAAGACCUACCUGAAGGGAAGUCAGCAUGCAGCUAGAAACCAGUAUAAGAAGCCAGAAAUCCAUGUGGAAGAACUGGGAGAUUUUAUAAGCCAUAAACACUGGGAAAACCAGCAGAAGCAGACACAUGCUGAGGCCACGGAAGUGUUUCCACACACUCCUAGAAGCACAGAAGAAAAAGAAGCCAAAAGAGAACUUUUAAAGAGGGUUGAAGUCACCACGAUGAAGAGGAUGAUGCUGAGGAGGAAGGUGCGCUGCAGGGCCUGCAUGUCUAACAGGCCCGUCUGGAGAGCGAGCAGGAGCAGCGUGACGCCCUCCGUCACACCUCUGACGAGGGAAGAGUCAAAGUCAAAACAGGGCAAUAACGCAGCACUUUGAACUGUAUGUGGGUCAAUAAACAAACUAACUAACUAAAAAA
Scatophagus argus is the source of this 560-nucleotide long non-coding RNA. RefSeq lists it as uncharacterized. The transcript is spliced from 3 exons. Lineage: Eukaryota; Metazoa; Chordata; Actinopteri; Scatophagidae. The record is from RefSeq and is a predicted model, not a curated record.